AUUGUCUGUCUUUGAUAAUUCUAGUUUUACAGCAAAACAUCUAAUCAUGUCAAAAAAUUUGCCAGUACAUCCUCUUCCUUCCCUAUAUAUUAACAUUGCUCGACUUCCGAUCAGUAACCUUAGCUCAGAUGAAAAAAGCUACUUCAUUAGUUACAUCUUUUAAAAUUUCAUGUUACCAUUAUUCAUGUUGGAGAAAAAGAGAAGCAGCAAAUUCGUGAAUAGUUUGCAGAUGCUCUUGAGUUAAGUCUUACAUCAUACACACGAAAAGCUUCCUCCUACUGCGGUAGACGGAACAAAUUUUUCGGAUGACAAAAAUCACUUCAGAACAAAUGAGUGACAGAAAUGAUAGAAUAAACCGCACUUGCCUGUUGUUCCUCACGACAACCAAACUUGCAACGACAUCAGCAGAGAGAGCAUAAAUAGGACCAUAAGCAUGCAGAAAAUACUCCUUCCCCAGAAUAGAUGUGAAAGUGGUUCAUACCUGUAGUAGUUGUACAGAUUCAUUGAGACAAUACUGAGGAUACGAACAACAAUAAUCCUGAUAAUAGACAACACAACAAUAUCAUUUUUUAUUCACAUCUAGUCAUUGGUAAGUAUUCAUCUGCAUCUUCUUUUUCUCAUCAUUGUCACAAGCUCCACAGCAUCUAUUAACAUAACAGGCAUAAACUGCUAAUGAGCAUAUUUUGGGUUGGUUGCUAAAGAUCAUAAAUGAAUAAAUAAAUAAGAGGGGGAGAGUACCUAAAAUGAGAAUCAUAACUUCAGAAAUACAAUUUUGGGAAUGAGAUUGGGCAUCAUGUUUUAGGGACAUAACAUUCUUUAAUAUUAUUUAUGCAUUUUGUAUGCGAAAUUGGGAGGCGGGAAUCACUUCUAAGUGUAACAAGCUUAAGCUUUCGUGUCUUGAUUGUCACUGUUGACUUUAGCCCUCAAAGGAAAAAGAAAAAAAGAAGAAGUGGAAAAGGAAAAGUGAGAAGAAUAUAGUACAUUCUGAACAAAGAAAAUACCCACACAUCAAUAAAAAUAGAAAAACCAACAUAGAGAAAGGAAGAAAAGCUUCUUUCCUAUUUCUCUCCCUCUAUUUUGUUACCUCAAUUAGUUCUGAUUUUCCCCGAGAAAGAGAAAUAUCUUUGUCCUUGAUCACUCAAAGUUUAGUCAGAAAACCUUUUGCGUUAAAAUUAAUGUUUUCAUCUCUCUGUCUAAAAGAAAGAAAAUUAAGCUUCUUUCCUGCUUGUCUCACUGUAUUUUAUUGCUUCAAUUGGUUCUAAUUUGCGGUUCCGCCAGAGAAAUAUCUUUGACAUGUACUCAGAACUUUACCAGGAAACUAAUGUUGAUCUUUUCCAAAGAAUGCUUCUCUCAGUA
RNAcentral lists this long non-coding RNA (1356 nucleotides) under Nicotiana benthamiana. Its description in RNAcentral is "long non-coding RNA (NBEN_LNC037882)". Lineage: Eukaryota; Viridiplantae; Streptophyta; Magnoliopsida; Solanales; Solanaceae. The record is from RNAcentral.